Molecule: long non-coding RNA, 2890 nt
Organism: Chroicocephalus ridibundus (black-headed gull)
Lineage: Eukaryota; Metazoa; Chordata; Aves; Charadriiformes; Laridae
Exons: 3
Source: RefSeq, a predicted model, not a curated record
GCGGCCACAACGACGAGGAGCAGCGGGAGGAAUCAGGAACCAAAACCAACUUGGGAUACAGCAUCCAAAAGCUCAGGGAUCUGAAGGGGAACUGAGGCACAGAGAGGUCAAGUGACUCGCGCAAAGGUGUUGUCAAAGAAAGGGUCCCAGUGCUGCAGACACAUCACCAGUCUUUGGAUGGUAUUUAAAAUUUAGCCUUGUGAACAGCACCCAACAGCAAAUCAGGUGACAUGGCACAAACCACGACCUUUCGCUCAACCCAAGAGACUCAAGUGAGAAAGGAUUUCAAGUUUCAUCCCUACUGAACUGAACAAGACUGUCUCUAAACUGACAUCAAUACAAAUUUAUGAAGGCACAGAAAAUCCUAACCGCGAGAACCUGAACUUGGGAAAAACAGCCCCACUUUUCUCAAAAAAAAGAUGAAUCCACAAAGUAGAUCUUGCCACAGCAGAAGGAACAUGUGUCAUGGGAACAGCAGAGGCAAAAUGUGUCAUGGGAAAAUCUUGACGGAUUCAGCCCAGGAUGAGAAUGUGCAAAUUGAUGCAAAAUUAAAUGCAAUUGAACAUGAUAACACAUAUCCCAGCAAUGAAGAAAACUCACAGCAUACUUGCAAAAAAGAUAAAGUUUAAAUCCAAGGGGGGUCUGAAGAUGUCUAAGCAGUUCCCAGUGACAACAUUUUGGCAUGAAUAUGAAGAUUUCCCCAAAAAGGAGUUAUGAAAGUGCUGCAGAAAUGAAACAAGGAGUAACUGAAGUGCAAGGGUCAGUUACACAACUAAAUGGAAGAUGUGUAACCCAGCCCUCCUGCAUAACAACAAAGCAGGUACUAAGUAAUUAUAUUCUUUGUCUGUUACUAAAAAGUCACCCUGUAGUUCAUUUCUGGAAUACUGUAUUUUUUUCUUUUCCUGGCCUGCUCUGCUGGCAGAGUGAUUUUCAAGAGCUGCUGUUUUCCACCUCCAAAGUAGUUUGAUUUCACUUCCAGGCAAGACGAAACUCUAAACUAGCCUUACUUCUAAGAUCUUUGAAGAUCUGGGAAUGUCCUCUGGUUGUAUAUAAAGGGAGUGCAAUUCAGAGCCUGGUACAAAUACAUAAAGGGGUUCAAUAUUUAAUUAAACAUAAUCUUCCUUGUGGCAUGAGUGACUGAGCUCUUGCAGGCUGAACAUCCUUAAUUUUCACUGCACUGCUCUCCAAUAAGUGACAACACAAAACCUUUAGCUGGCCCAGGCUGGCCCAUCACCUGCCUUCACCGUGGUGGCACUAGCUGCCCUGCCACCGACGAGGAAACAUUUUGGACCCUAAUAACUUUCUACUUUUACAUGACAAAUUCAUCUCUUCAGGUUGUCAGAUCGCUCCAACAUGUCUCUACAGCACCAGGAAACUACUGAUGCCGUCCCCAUGCCUCUAAGCUAUCCAGACUGAAGGCUAAGAAGACAGAAUGUGGUGGGCUUGUACCAAAAUCAGCUCCAUUUCCCUCCCUGGAAGUAGGACAACAGUGAAAUCAGAAAUUACAGCCUUCUUUCAUAUCUGCAGAUUCAGCUCUACUGUCACUGCCAGCAAUUACAGCAUUAUCAGGUAGCAGCAUUCAUCUCAGGUGCUCAGCAUCUCUUCCAUGUCCUGGAGAGACCAUGCCCUUAUUAAAGGUCUUGUUUACAGACAGGGAAACUGAGGCAAAGAGCAAGGAUCCAAGUCCAGAGAAAUCAGUGGCAGACCAUCCAGAGCCACCGAUGAGACCCAGCAGACCUAAUAACUCCUCCAGCUAUUACAAGCAGGAAGAAAGGGCAGGAGUGCUCUUAGGGGCCUAACUGGAAACAGAUGAGUCACUGGAAAUCUUCCUCUCCAUUCAGUGGGCUUCACAUGAGGAUUUGAAAUAUUUGGAAUACACCCCCAAAUUGUUUAGGGUGUAUUGCUGGGAGGAGGGAAUGAGGCACGAAACUUGGGAAGUUUAGUCCCAAAGACUCCUCUUGGAAGCCAAGCUGUAAAGCUUUAUAUGCACCUGAAGCAAACAAUCCCUUUUCCCUGUCUGCGUCUGCCUGUGAAAAGGAAAAAGAAAGGGCAGCUGAUUUGUGAAUGCCUUCUUGCUAGAACUGUGGAUUUGAAAUCUCCAUCCUUGAUUAAAGUGGGGAAUGCAAUUGCACAAGCCAUUAAUUAUUACUGAUAAACCAAAGUAGUGAUGGAGCCAAAUAAAAAUCUCUUGCCACUACAAUCAGAUUCUGAAAAAAAGACAGAGCCGGGAGCCUCCAGCCUAUUUGCAUUUCCUUUUUUUGUGUGAAAUACGUGUCUGAAUUGCUAGGUCUCCAAACCUUGCAUGCACUUGGUGUACGUGAUGUCUAUAGGUACAGAUCAAGAGAGAUGAACUUUAUCUACACAAACGGCAAAAAGCAGCUUACAGUUCCUUUAACAUGUGACCAGUCCCAAUUACGGCUUCUUCCACAUGACAUCAGUAUGCGACGGAGGAUCUCACUUUUUUUUUUGCCAGAGGCAAAUGAAUACAUUAUCCAGCAGUGAGGCGUGGGGCAAGCGGAUGCGUAACUCUGGGGUGAUUUGGAUUCCACGCUCGCGCGGGGGUGUGAGCCAACCUCAGAAGUCAUUUUCACUGAUGCUGACACAUAAGGCAUCCCUCAGAGACCUGUCUAUCAAACUGCAACAUGCUAUGCAGAAAAAUUAGAUUACUCAUGCUACAAUAAAGAAGGAGAAGAUGACAAUGAUGAAAAAAAAGGACUUCAAAAUAUAACAGCUAUUUAUUAAAUGAAUAAAAAUCCUGACAAUGGGAAAGUAUCCUAGAGACUUUUUAUUUAUUUAUUUUACUUCUUGCAACCCAUUUCAAGGAGAGCUACUUGGAAAGACCCUAUUAAUUCAGACACUGCCUGUGGAAAAACCACCACCUCAUCAUGAU